GUGAGGAAUAUUGCGCAAUGGAGGCAACUCUGACGCAGCCAUGCCGCGUGCAGGAAGAAGGCGCUACGCGUUGUAAACUGCUUUUAACCGGGAAGAAACCCCAGGACGUGUCCUGGGUUGACGGUACCGGAGGAAUAAGCACCGGCUAACUUCGUGCCAGCAGCCGCGGUAAUACGAAGGGUGCAAGCGUUAUCCGGAUCCAUUGGGUUUAAAGGGUGCGUAGGCGGAGCGGUAAGUCAGUGGUGAAAUCCUGCAGCUUAACUGUAGACUGGCCAUUGAUACUGGCGCUCUUGAGUGCGCUUGAAGUGGGCGGAAUGUGCCGUGUAGCGGUGAAAUGCUUAGAUAUGGCACAGAACACCAAUUGCGAAGGCAGCUCACUAAGGCGAUACUGACGCUGAGGCACGAAAGCGUGGGGAUCGAACAGGAUUAGAAACCCUAGUAGUCC
RNAcentral lists this ribosomal RNA (445 nucleotides) under uncultured bacterium. Its description in RNAcentral is "bacterial SSU rRNA". It matches the Rfam family "Bacterial small subunit ribosomal RNA", at positions 354 to 796 of the family's 1533-position model. The record is from RNAcentral.